RNAcentral lists this non-coding RNA (59 nucleotides) under Plasmodium falciparum 3D7. The record is from RNAcentral. Lineage: Eukaryota; Apicomplexa; Aconoidasida; Haemosporida; Plasmodiidae.
UUAAAUCAUCCUGUGUAUCAACAAAUGUUUCAUAAAACUCACAUAAGUUCUCUAUACAU